GGCUGGAUAGCUCAGUUGGUAGAGCAGAGGACUGAAAAUCCUUGUGUCCGCGGUUCGAUUCCGCGUCCAGCCA
RNAcentral lists this transfer RNA (73 nucleotides) under Verrucomicrobiia bacterium. Its description in RNAcentral is "tRNA-Phe". It matches the Rfam family "tRNA". Rfam says of the family: Transfer RNA (tRNA) molecules are approximately 80 nucleotides in length. Their secondary structure includes four short double-helical elements and three loops (D, anti-codon, and T loops). The record is from RNAcentral. Lineage: Bacteria; Pseudomonadati; Verrucomicrobiota; Verrucomicrobiia. RNAcentral also lists the same sequence under 1 other name.